This 285-nucleotide unclassified non-coding RNA is filed under the name plant metagenome. RNAcentral's name for it is "partial contains small subunit ribosomal RNA and internal transcribed spacer 1". The stretch from base 1 to 54 matches the Rfam family "Eukaryotic small subunit ribosomal RNA", at positions 1778 to 1831 of the family's 1831-position model. The record is from RNAcentral.
GGAAGUAAAAGUCGUAACAUGGUUUCCGUAGGUGAACCUGCGGAAGGAUCAUUAUUGUAUAACCGAGGUGCGAGGGCUGUCGCUGACCCGAAAGGUCGUGCACGCCCGAGUGCCCUCACACACAUCCAUCUCACCCCUAUGUGCACCACCGCGUGGGUCCCCCUUUGGCUUGUUCGGAGGGGGGCUUACGUUUUCACACAAACUUUGUAUGCAGUGUAGAAUGUAUUUUUUGUUUUUGCGAUCACGCAAUCAAUACAACUUUCAACAACGGACCUCUUGGCUCUC